GAUUAACGCUGGCGGCGUGCAUAACACAUGCAAGUCGAACGAUGAAACUUUAAUGAACCCUUCGGGGAGAAUUAAAGCGGAUUAGUGGCGAACGGUUGAGUAACGCGUGAGUAACCUGCCUUACACAAGGGGAUAGCCUUUGGAAACGAAGAAUAAUACCCUAUAAAACCAUAAAAGCACAUGCAAUUAUGGUCAAAGUGAUAGCGGUGUAAGAUGGACUUGCGUCUGAUUAGCUAGUUGGUGAGAUAAAAGCCCACCAAGGCAACGAUCAGUAGCCGGCUUGAGAGAGUGUACGGCCACAUUGGGACUGAGACACGGCCCAGACUCCUACGGGAGGCAGCAGUGGGGAAUUUUGCACAAUGGGGGAAACCCUGAUGCAGCGACGCCGCGUGAUUUAGAAGGCCUUCGGGUUGUAAAAAUCUUUUGUAUAGGAAGAAAAUGACAGUACUAUACGAAUAAGGUCCGGCUAAUUACGUG
Molecule: ribosomal RNA, 477 nt
Filed under: uncultured bacterium
Lineage: Bacteria
Description: partial 16S ribosomal RNA
Rfam family: Bacterial small subunit ribosomal RNA
Source: RNAcentral